CAGAGUUGUCGACAUGAGUUGUUGCUGGCCCUCGAGUGGGGGCAUGUGCACGCUCUGUUCACACAUCCACUCACACCUGUGCACCCUCUGUAGUUCUAUGGUCUGGGGGACGUGCGCCGUCUUCCUCCCGUGGUUCUAUGUCUUUACACAUACGCCGUAGCCAAGUCUCGUGGAAUGUACCCUGCGUUUAACGCAAUAUAAUA
This 203-nucleotide unclassified non-coding RNA is filed under the name uncultured Thelephoraceae. RNAcentral describes it as "sequence contains ITS1". The record is from RNAcentral. Lineage: Eukaryota; Fungi; Basidiomycota; Agaricomycetes; Thelephorales; Thelephoraceae.